GCCACAUUUAAGCAGGCUGGAAGCAUAUGUAGUUCAGUGGUAGAGCAUGUGCCUACCAUGUACAAUGUCCUGGGUUAAAUCCCCAGCACCAAAAGGAGAAGUAAAAAAAAAAAAAAUUCAAGUCAUUUUUACUAAAAACGUGUGUAUCAGGAAGAAAAGUUGCACUAGAAUAGAUGGCCACAAACACCCAACUGACUUUUGGUCAAUUUCUUGAUCUCUGUGGUGUCUUUUCUGCCUGUUAGAUUUGAGAAAGUGUUUCAGAUGAGCAUGGCUGAGGCUGCCUGUAGUCUAGCUGUUCAGAAAGCCAAGGCAAGAGUAUCACUUGAGCCCAGGAUUUGGGGGCCACCCUAGGCAACAGAGUGAGACCUUGCCUAUUGGUGGGGGAAAAAAAGAUGGAGAGUGAAUAUUUUAUGUGAAAGCAGAUCCAGCCAAAAGGAUAGGGGUACAAUAACUUCAGUUUUUAUCUAAGGCAUAUCAGGAUAGCCAGAGACACAAAGUACCCCCCUGAUACUGCAUGGAUUGGAAUUGCCCUAAUGAAUUUUUAAGACUUACAGAAGACCCUUUCACUUAUCAGGAUUUAUGACCUAAUCUAAGACACCCAACGUUGAGAAAUCACCAUUUUAUGGAACUCUGACCUACUUUUGUCAGAUGUAUUUAUAUCAUAUAUACUGAGAAAUGGAAAUAUUACUCUACUCUGCCCUAAUAAUGCCAAAUGAAAGUAAUAAGUGCCUGAUAAAUGCAAAAUUAAGACCAUUUCUAUAGCACAAAAAAUGAAAAAAUAUAUGUUUGGCAGGGGUACUGUGGAUUGAAACCAGGGGCACUUAACCACUAAGCCACAUCGCCAGCCCUUUUUUAUAUUUCAUUUAGAGACAGGGUCUCACUGAGUUGCUUAGUGCCUCACUUUUGCUGAGGCUGGUUUUGAACUUGUGAUCCUCCUGCCUGAGCCUCCUGAGCCACUGGGAUUACAGGUAUGUACCACCUCGCCCAGCCUUAUGUACUUUCCCUAUAACUUCAGUAUGAAAUAGAGCUGCAGGGAGUAUCUUUUGAACAUCUGCUGUGUGGCAGGUCCUCUACUAAUUGCUUGACCUUUUUUUAGGGGUGUGUGUGUGUGUGUGUGUGUGUGUAUGUGUAUGUGUGUGGUGCUGAGGAUUGAUCCCAGGGCCUUGUGCAUGCAAGGCAAGCACCCUACCACCUGAGGUAUAUCCCCAGCCCCUGCUUGACAUCUUAUUUCUACAUGUGGUGGCCCUUCCAGAGGUCUUCCUUUGGAAGGGGAAGGGGACAGAAACGGGAAGGGCUGUAAUGACUGUACCUGCUGUGUUUCCACAGUUGUUGAUCUGGUCAUUUAGUAGCCAGUCAAGAGGUGAAGGUCUUGCUCAUAUUUCUGGUACAUUCUUUUCCUCUAGCUUGUCUGCCUUCCUCUUUUAGAAUAUCUUUUAGGGCACUGCUUGACUAUUUCAUGUUCACUGGUUUUGAACUUUCCACUUUCUUUGAUGUUUCCAAUGCUUGUUGUCAUUAAGUUAUAAAUCGCACCUUUUUAAAAAAGAAAAAAGCUUCCAGACUUCUGAUAAUCUAAUAAAUGUAAGUAAUUUUUCAUAUGUUGAAAUCCAGUCUAUAAAAUUUAAGUAGCAAACUAUUUAUAAAGGCCUUAAGAAGGCAAUUCAUCACUUAAAUUCCCCAACAAUACUGUUGUAAAUCUGGAAAACUUAUCCCCCAGUGCCAAAUGAUAGUUUGAAAUGGGCUUUGUAGUCAGUUCUAGGUGACCUUGUGGUCAGUGCUGUUCUAUAGAAGUUAAGGUUUCUCCAGCUUGAUUAAAUAAUUAGACGAGUCACAGAAGUCUAUGGAGCUGGGUGAAACAUUUGGUACAGUUUCCAGUCAGAGCAGAUACUCAGUGAACGAUUAUCAAAGCAACUACAUCAUGCUAAGCACAGGAAAAGAAGAACUCUCAAGAAUUCUUUUUUUCUUUUUUCAUGUGUCAAAUUUUUCCUUUUUUACUGUGAUAAAUAUAUAUAUAUAUAACAAAAUUACCAUUUUAACCCUUUUUAGGUGUGCAGUUCAGUGACACUGAGUACACACACAGUGUCACGUUACCACUACUGAUUUCUACAAAUUUUUAUCAUCCCUGAUGAACUCCUUUCUAUAUGCCUCUAAAUUUACCUGUUCUACGUACCUGACAUAAACGGGAUGGUACAGUAUUUGUCUUUUUGUGUCUAGCUUUUUAUUGGUAGAUUAUAAUUAUACGUAAUAGUGGGCUUUGUUGUAACAUUCAUACAGUCACAUGAUGUCAUUAGCUUGUUUCAUUUAGCUUAAUGUUUUCAAAACUCGUCCAUGUUGUGGCAUUUUACAGAAUUUUAAUCCUUUUGAGACUAAAAUUCCAUUGUGUGCAUAUAAACCAUAUUUUGUUUAUCCAUUCAUCUGAUAGAUACCUGGGUUAUUUCCAUUAUUUGGCUAUUGUGAACAAUGCAGCUAUGAAUACUCAUGUACAAGUAUCUGAAUGCCUGCUUUAUAUUUGGAUUUUAUACUUAGGAGUGGAAUGGCUGUUUCAUAUGGUAAUGUUAUUUUUUAACUUUAUGAGAAACCACCAAAAGUUUGAAUUGGAUAAAUUUAAAAAGUUCCUAGAACAAGGUGCCAGCUCCCUGGGAAAUCACAGUCUCAGGGGUAGUGUUUUCCUAACAGACCUAUAUGUGAUUCAUUGGCCUCUGAUUCAUGCCUUUUAUUCAUUCUUUCCUAAAACAUUUAUUGAGCACCUGCUAUGGCCCAGACCUGAUUUUGAAAUAGACUAGAGAGAGAGAAGUUCAGUUGAGUGCAGGACACAGCUGCUUUCCAGUGCUUAAGUGCUAUGAUAAAAGAGAUGCUAACAUGAGAAAGAGGGGUCUUUCCCAGAGAGGAUCCCUGCCUUAGUCUUGCUGGAGGAGCAUGAGAUAGCAAAUUGAAGAGGAAGUGAAAGAAUUGCAGAGUAUGUCAUGUGCAGAGGGUCAGAAGAGGAACACUGGGACAUUUAGAAGAUCAGAAUAGGCCAGCACGGCUGAAGCAUAGGCUAUAGGGAAGGGUAUGGAGAAAGAGGCAAAGGGCAAAUCAGGAAGGACAUCAUAAGCUAUAGAAAAGAUUUGGGUUUCUUUCUGAAGAUAAUGAAGAGAUAGAGGUUUUUGUUGUGACAAAGAAGUGACAUAAUUUUUUUAAAUGCUUUAUAAGACCUGACAGUUUGCAAACCACAACAAUCUCUCUUGAGAGUGUUAAGGCGAUGGUAAUGGGGACCGAAAAGGUGCAGUGUUGGGGUGUUUCGGAGGUAGAGUGAAUAGGACUUCUGACUAACUUAGAUGGCAAGGAGAAGAGGAAUGCAGGAUGACUCCUGCUCCAGAAUUGGCCAACCUGGAUAAUACUGAGUUCAAGAGCAGGGAGAUGCCUGGUUUUGGUGGUGAUAAGGAGGCAGAGAGAAAAGAUGAGAAGGGCUGGGGCUCCAUGGGAACGCACUCGCCUAGCACGCAUGAGGCACUGGGCUCAAUCCUCAGCACCACAUAAAAAAAAAUAAGAAGAAGAAGGUGAGUAGGAAAUUAGCUUCAUUUUGAGUUUAGAAUGCAUGUUGAAUAUCCAAGUGCAGCUGUGGGUUUAGAUGGCACUUAGGAGAGAAAUAGGAACUGAAGAUAGAGGUGUGGGAACUGUCACUAUACAUAAUGGUAAUUGAGGGUGUGAAAAAUGGAGCGAAUACAGGCUGGAAAUUUGAAUUUUACCCAGGUAUGGGGCAAGAGCUUUGCAAGAGGAAUGGCCAUGGGGGCGAGUAGACAACCAGAAGAGUGGGGACUCAUGGAAGCCUAGAAUAUGCCAGGUUUCACACAGAAAUAAAUCACAUAAACUCAUGUCUCAGGCUAAUAGUAUUCCAACUAUAUUGUUUUGAGAUACUUCAUUAAUACUUGAUUUUUAAAAUAUAUUUUACUUUAAAGGAGUUAAAGGCCAACAAACAAAUAUAUGUUUUAUAGCAGUUUAAAACACUGAAAUCCAGCAAAGAUCAGAGCCAGGUUAACUGCUUUUGUGCAGAUGCCAGAAUAAGCCAUCCUUGGUGAACUGAAGAGCUUCCCUGGUAUUUCAAGGUGAGCUGGUAAAGAAUUGCUGCUGUUUCUCAAUGUGAAUCAGGCCCUUCCCAAUGCAUGCAAACUGGAUAAGAAUGUAGAAAUGGCGUCCACAGAAGAUUAACUCUGUCUUCUGUAGACCCAGUCUUAAAUGUUUAUGGAAAUAGCUUUAUUUUUCUUACUGACUUACUGAUUGGACUAAAUGUUGUACCAAUAUUUCUGUUAACAUGGUGGACUUAAUGUGGUUAUUUUCAAAAGGGAUGUGAAGACUACAGCCAAAAAGAAGUUAACUAGAACCACUUUCUAUGGCUCAUCUGCCUCUCUAUAGAGUCAACUUCUAGAGGCUUAAGUGUAUUAUGUGUAUCUUUAAAUAUGUUAUUUUGGAACCGAAUUCAUCAUAGGACCAGGUGAUUUUUGCAUUUGCAUUGCUAUAGAAAGUUUAGACCGUCUGCAUUUCUGUUAUCUUGAAUGAUCUUUACUCUUUUUUCUUACUGAUACAUAAAUAAAUAACUGCAUACAUAUUAUCUUGGAUAGAAAUUAUCUCAAAUUGAUGGCAAAAAGUGCUCUUUGUAUUUGGUUUUAGACUGCUGCAUGGUAUUUGUUUUUUGGUUUUUUUUUUCUUUUUUUAUUUCUGGUUUAAGUUACAUUUAAACUUAGUCUGAAUUCCUUGAGUAGAUAUGAUCUGUGCUACUUCAGCAACAAAUUGAGCAUGUUUGACAGUCCAGGAAGAAAAAAGGAGCUACCAAUAUUCAUGAUUGGCUCCAA
Molecule: long non-coding RNA, 4826 nt
Filed under: Marmota monax (woodchuck)
Lineage: Eukaryota; Metazoa; Chordata; Mammalia; Rodentia; Sciuridae
Rfam family: tRNA (bases 28-88)
Source: RNAcentral